AUGGAUCGCUGCAAUACACAUCCCCCGUCGGUGCUUCGCUCUCAUCUGACAAGCGUGACCGAUUCAUCCCGUUACUGGGUGAUAGGAAUUCCGGCGGGGAAGUCAUGCGUGAAAUUUAUUAUGAUUGAAAAUUCAUAAAGCCGGUAAGGUAUAGAUGAGUGCAGCCAGGUAUCACAACAAACUAUAAGGUGCAAAUUUGAGAAGUUUCUCGCCAAAUAAUGCAUCCAGCAGGUAGAUGGAUACGUGAUGCAAAAGGGGUGUGAUGCAUUCUACUUCGAUACGUGAGAUUGCAUAGGUCGAAAUCACGAUAUUGUACCUGACAAACUGACAUUGUAAUUUACACGAUAUCAAAGGUGUAAUUGGCAUGGAAAUUCAAAAGAAGCAAACAAAAGAAAAGGAGGGGAACCUGACAAAGAAAUAAACGACACAACCCUUUUAGUCUCAGGACACGUUUGUAUUACGACUUAAAUCGCUGAACAAAUACAGAAAUGACAAGAGAAAGUGAAAACAGCAAUGUUGGCGGAAAAAGCGGGUCACGGGUGUUUGCUCUACUUCGUUUUGUGGAGAUUUGUCAUCACUGCAACGCCAGAGGGGCAAGGAAUCUUGGAACAACUAUUGAAGUUCUGAAAUGAAUUUUCGUAUAUAUAUUUUUUCAUAUAAGACAUUCCAAUAGCGAUCAUUCAAAACCGCGAAGACGAAUUUCUUUAGUUCAUUGGUCAGUAUACAUGCAUAUACAGUAAGAAUUUGGUCAAUACAACAUUAUAAAAUAAAUAAAAUCAUAUAGAGAAUUAUGAUGGUAAUUAAGUUAAAAAAAACACCUUUUGAAAUUCUUUCAAAUAAUUUGCGGUUUCUUAUCUAUACCUAAAAGCAUUCUUCUCGUUAUCUCCUUAUAAGAGCAAAGCAAAAAGAAUUUUAUUUUAAAAAAGUCGAGAGGUUUCUAGUCGUUACUCUUAAGCUGUCACAAAUGUCCUGAAUUAAUGCGUUUCUUGCUCUUAGUUUUGAAAAAAAGAAGAAAGAUUUCAUAAAUGUA
Molecule: long non-coding RNA, 1030 nt
Organism: Magallana angulata
Lineage: Eukaryota; Metazoa; Mollusca; Bivalvia; Ostreida; Ostreidae
Exons: 3
Source: RefSeq, a predicted model, not a curated record